Molecule: ribosomal RNA, 506 nt
Filed under: uncultured bacterium
Lineage: Bacteria
Description: partial 16S ribosomal RNA
Rfam family: Bacterial small subunit ribosomal RNA
Source: RNAcentral
AUUGAACGCUGGCGGCAGGCCUAACACAUGCAAGUCGAACGGUAACAGGAAACAGCUUGCUGUUUAGCUGACGAGUGGCGGACGGGUGAGUAAUGUCUGGGACACUGCUUGAUGGAGGGGGAUAACUACUGGAAACGGUAGCUAAUACCGCAUAACGUCGCAAGACCAAAGAGGGGGACCUUCGGGCCUCUUGCCCUCGGAUGUGCCCGGAGGGGAUUAGCUAGUAGGUGGGGUAACGGCUCACCUAGGCGACGAUCCCUAGCUGGUCUGAGAGGAUGACCAGCCACACUGGAACUGAGACACGGUCCAGACUCCUACGGGAGGCAGCAGUGGGGAAUAUUGCACAAUGGGCGCAAGCCUGAUGCAGCCAUGCCGCGUGUAUGAAGAAGGCCUUCGGGUUGUAAAGUACUUUCAGCGGGGAGGAAGGGAGUAAAGUUAAUACCUUUGCUCAUUGACGUUACCCGCAGAAGAAGCACCGGCUAACUCCGUGCCAGCAGCCGCCGUAA